GCCUCAUUAGCUCAGUCUGGAGAGAGCUGCUCCCUUCUAAGGAGAUGGUCGCGAGUUCGAAUCUUGCAUGAGGCG
Molecule: transfer RNA, 75 nt
Filed under: Synechococcus phage S-CBWM1
Lineage: Duplodnaviria; Heunggongvirae; Uroviricota; Caudoviricetes
Rfam family: tRNA
About the family: Transfer RNA (tRNA) molecules are approximately 80 nucleotides in length. Their secondary structure includes four short double-helical elements and three loops (D, anti-codon, and T loops).
Source: Rfam by way of RNAcentral